GAUGAACGCUAGCGGCAGGCUUAACACAUGCAAGUCGAGGGGCAUCACGGGUAGCAAUACCUGGUGGCGACCGGCGGAAGGGUGCGUAACGCGUGAGCAACAUGCCCUAUACAGGGGAAUAAUCCAGGGAAACUUGGUCUAAUGCCCCAUAGCAAUAAGAUAAGGCAUCUUAUUUUAUUUAAAGCUUCGGUGGUAUAGGAUUGGCUCGCGUGACAUUAGCUGGGUGGGGAGGUAACGGCUCACCAUGGCAAUGAUGUCUAGGGGUUCUGAGAGGAAGGCCCCCCACACUGGGACUGAGACACGGCCCAGACUCCUACGGGAGGCAGCAGUGAGGAAUAUUGGACAAUGGAUGGAAAUCUGAUCCAGCCAUGCCGCGUGCAGGAAGACGGCCCUAUGGGUUGUAAACUGCUUUUCUACGGGAGCAAUAAGGUCUACGAGUAGACUGAUGAGAGUACCGUAGGAAUAAGCAUCGGCUAACUCCGUGCCAGCAGCCGCGGUAAUACGGAGGAUGCGAGCGUUAUCCGGAUUUAUUGGGUUUAAAGGGUGCGUAGGCGGCUUUUUAAGUCAGCGGUGAAAUUUUGCAGCUUAACUGUAACAGUGCCGUUGAUACUGAGAGGCUAGGAUUUGGUUGCUGUGGGUGGAAUGUGUGGUGUAGCGGUGAAAUGCUUAGAGAUCACACAGAAUAUCGAUUGCGAAGGCAGCUCACAAAGCCAAGAUUGACGCUGAGGCACGAAAGUGUGGGGAUCAAACA
Molecule: ribosomal RNA, 751 nt
Filed under: uncultured bacterium
Lineage: Bacteria
Description: bacterial SSU rRNA
Rfam family: Bacterial small subunit ribosomal RNA
Source: RNAcentral